ACACAUGCAGUCGAACGGUAACAGGAAGCAGCUUGCUGCUUUGCUGACGAGUGGCGGACGGGUGAGUAAUGUCUGGGAAACUGCCCGAUGGAGGGGGAUAACUACUGGAAACGGUAGCUAAUACCGCAUAACGUCGCAAGACCAAAGAGGGGGACCUUCGGGCCUCUUGCCAUCGGAUGUGCCCAGAUGGGAUUAGCUUGUUGGUGAGGUAACGGCUCACCAAGGCGACGAUCCCUAGCUGGUCUGAGAGGAUGACCAGCCACACUGGAACUGAGACACGGUCCAGACUCCUACGGGAGGCAGCAGUGGGGAAUAUUGCACAAUGGGCGCAAGCCUGAUGCAGCCAUGCCGCGUGUAUGAAGAAGGCCUUCGGGUUGUAAAGUACUUUCAGCGGGGAGGAAGGUGUUGUGGUUAAUAACCGCAGCAAUUGACGUUACCCGCAGAAGAAGCACCGGCUAACUCCGUGCCAGCAGCCGCGGUAAUACGGAGGGUGCAAGCGUUAAUCGGAAUUACUGGGCGUAAAGCGCACGCAGGCGGUCUGUCAAGUCGGAUGUGAAAUCCCCGGGCUCAACCUGGGAACUGCAUUCGAAACUGGCAGGCUUGAGUCUCGUAGAGGGGGGUAGAAUUCCAGGUGUAGCGGUGAAAUGCGUAGAGAUCUGGAGGAAUACCGGUGGCGAAGGCGGCCCCCUGGACGAAGACUGACGCUCAGGUGCGAAAGCGUGGGGAGCAAACAGGAUUAGAUACCCUGGUAGUCCACGCCGUAAACGAUGUCUAUUUGGAGGUUGUUCCCUUGAGGAGUGGCUUCCGGAGCUAACGCGUUAAAUAGACCGCCUGGGGAGUACGGCCGCAAGGUUAAAACUCAAAUGAAUUGACGGGGGCCCGCACAAGCGGUGGAGCAUGUGGUUUAAUUCGAUGCAACGCGAAGAACCUUACCUGGUCUUGACAUCCACAGAACCUUGUAGAGAUACGAGGGUGCCUUCGGGAACUGUGAGACAGGUGCUGCAUGGCUGUCGUCAGCUCGUGUUGUGAAAUGUUGGGUUAAGUCCCGCAACGAGCGCAACCCUUAUCCUUUGUUGCCAGCGGUCCGGCCGGGAACUCAAAGGAGACUGCCAGUGAUAAACUGGAGGAAGGUGGGGAUGACGUCAAGUCAUCAUGGCCCUUACGACCAGGGCUACACACGUGCUACAAUGGCAUAUACAAAGAGAAGCGACCUCGCGAGAGUAAGCGGACCUCAUAAAGUAUGUCGUAGUCCGGAUUGGAGUCUGCAACUCGACUCCAUGAAGUCGGAAUCGCUAGUAAUCGUGGAUCAGAAUGCCACGGUGAAUACGUUCCCGGGCCUUGUACACACCGCCCGUCACACCAUGGGAGUGGGUUGCAAAAGAAGUAGGUAGCUUAACCUUCGGGAGGGCGCU
RNAcentral lists this ribosomal RNA (1412 nucleotides) under Citrobacter sp. ST8D. RNAcentral's name for it is "16S ribosomal RNA". It matches the Rfam family "Bacterial small subunit ribosomal RNA". Lineage: Bacteria; Pseudomonadati; Pseudomonadota; Gammaproteobacteria; Enterobacterales; Enterobacteriaceae. The record is from RNAcentral.